This 623-nucleotide ribosomal RNA is filed under the name uncultured Cortinariaceae. RNAcentral describes it as "eukaryotic LSU rRNA". The stretch from base 248 to 401 matches the Rfam family "5.8S ribosomal RNA". The record is from RNAcentral. Lineage: Eukaryota; Fungi; Basidiomycota; Agaricomycetes; Agaricales; Cortinariaceae.
GAUCAUUAUUGAAAUAAACCUGAUGGGUUGCUGCUGGUUCUCUAGGGAGCAUGUGCACACUUGUCAUCUUUAUAUCUCCACCUGUGCACCUUUUGUAGACCUGGAUAUCUUUCUGGAUGCCUAUGCAUUCAGGUUUGAGGAUUGACUUUGCAGUCUUUCCUUACAUUUCCAGGCCUAUGUUUCUUCAUAUACCCCAAUGUAUGUCAUAGAAUGUAAUAAAUGGGCCUUUGUGCCUAUAAAUCUAUACAACUUUCAGCAACGGAUCUCUUGGCUCUCGCAUCGAUGAAGAACGCAGCGAAAUGCGAUAAGUAAUGUGAAUUGCAGAAUUCAGUGAAUCAUCGAAUCUUUGAACGCACCUUGCGCUCCUUGGUAUUCCGAGGAGCAUGCCUGUUUGAGUGUCAUUAAUAUAUCAACCUCUUCAAGUUUUGCUUGUUGAGUGUUGGAUGUGGGGGUCUUUUGCUGGUCUCUUUUGAGGUCGGCUCCCCUGAAAUGCAUUAGCGGAACAAUUUGUUGACCGUUCAUUGGUGUGAUAACUAUCUACGCUAUUGACGUGAAGCAGUUCAGCUUCUAACAGUCCAUUGACUUGGACAAAUUUUCAUUAAUGUGACCUCAAAUCAGGUAGG